Long non-coding RNA from Oreochromis aureus, 9481 nucleotides. The record is from Ensembl. Lineage: Eukaryota; Metazoa; Chordata; Actinopteri; Cichliformes; Cichlidae.
GGGUUUUAUGAUGGGGUCGCUCCUAUAAAGCUGCCUGGAACUAACAAAGGGGUGAAGAUUGUUUCAGAGGAACACCGGCCUCGUCUUCCCUUCUAGAAGUGCAUGCUUAAAUGAAGAUGAAUAAAGAUGAAUAAAGAUUUUGUAAAAAUUACUACUGAGUUCCGGUACCAUCUCUGGAUCCCUCGACGAAUAAAAGAACCGGGGCAAAACUGAUUUUGCAACAAGAGUUAGAGUAGCUUGAGCCAAACGGUGAAAUACCUGGCAUAAAGUUUCCAAAUGAUCUUGCCAUGUUUCAGUGUAAACUACUAGAUCAUCUAGGUAGGCACUGCAGUUGGACAGGCCACGGAGGACUUUAUUUACCAGCCUCUGGAAGGUGGGGUUAGCAUUACACAUGCCGAAAGCCAUGACUGUGUACUGUAGAAAAUCAUCAGGUGUAACAAAGGCAGAGAUAUAUGCUUUUUAUUUGUAAUAACUGCAAUCUCUCAGCUCAUUUGCUUCAGCAAGAGGCUGCACUGGAGAGUGGACUUUGUCACAUGUGAGCCACCCACAUCAACAGGAUGGGAACUCAUGUGGAGUGCAUGUCAUAAUGUUUGCCCAAUCUCUCAUUGAGGGUAAAACACAUGUGGAGGAGUACAACACUGAAAUCCCAAAGCUCAGGUCCCAACUUUGCCACUACUUAUUUUCCUCAAUAGAUCGAACUAGGAAGUGCAGUCAGUGCUGGUGUCUAAUUGCAGCCAAAGACCGGGUGCAGUGCCAGAAAUGUGGUGCAUACAAGCACAUGCGUUGUUCAAAGUCUGUUUGUGGCAUCUGUAUCUUCUGUGAGAGGCCGUAAAGCCAAACUGCCCGCAAUGAUUCUUGACAGGCCUAAGAAGGCCAAAACUAAAGUAACGGUGUUUAGUGUUCUGAGUGAAGAGGAGGCUGGGGAGCUAGCCCUCUGGUUUGCUGGAAGAUUGGCCUGCGAUGUCACAAGAGACAUGGUCUGUAAAGGCAUCGACCAUUCAAGUGCUGAUGUGACAAAACAGACUCUUCACAAAAUCCAACACAACCUUAAACAGGAACUGACUGAUUCCUCAACUUUCAGUUUGCUGACACACACCUUUGGCCCUGCUGCACUGGAUUCUGUCAUUUCUUUCCUGUGUGAAAAACUGGAUCUUGUCUCUUAAAUAAUAAAACCUUUUGUGACUUUUGUUUGUUCUGUAAAUCAGAAUCUUGAAAAUUGUUCACUGUUGUUUUAAGUUUGUAUUAAGUUAACUAUUUGGUAAAAAUGUUUUGUUCCUAAUCCAAACAGCAUAAUGACUGUUCUAACACAUAUCUUAAAAAUGCUACAAAGAAAGAAAAUUAUCACAUAUGUUUCAAUAUGAAUGUAAUUGUGUCACACUCGGUUUGUAGUAGCUUUCCUGUUUUAUUUUGUGAGUUUUGGUAUGUUUACACUGUUGUCAUUUUUAUUUCCCUUGUGUUCGUCUUCCCUUCAGUCAGUCUUUAUUUCAAAAUCCCGCUUUUCCCAAUGGCCUAUUUAUUUCAUAAUGCGACUUUUCAGCAGAAUGACUUUGCCUGUCAAUCAAGAAAGACAGGGCGGAGCCAGUUGUGUGAUUGGUUGCUCCUUUGCUCAGACAUAAGAAAUAGCACAUGAAGUGUCGAUUUAGGUCCAAUGGUGCAGUGCGUCUCCUACCUAUGUUUAUACCUAUGUAAACUUUUAUACACUAGUUUUUACCUGUCUUGUUUCAGAAAGGUUUAAAAGGGUAAUGUCCACAUUUUAUAAUUUUUGAAUUCAACAUAUUUUAUUAAAGUAAUUGAGCUUGAACACAGAAAAAACUGAAUCAAAUAAUCAUAAAAUCAAAUCACUUGCACUAUACUGAAGUCUAAUCUACUCUGAGCUAAUGCUGGUUUCCAACACUAAUGAUCGGGUGAAGGAGAGAGAUGAGGGUGUGCAUGGCCACUGGUGCUCUUAUCCCUGUUCUGUGUGAUACAAUCCAACAGGAAAGCAGUCAAACCCUUGGACAUUAGCGAAGUUAACGUUCACAAAUAUAUACACACAGAGGAACUCUGAGCCCCAAUGUCAGCAUUAGCACAAACAUGCCACUUCAUACCAAAUCUCAGUGUGAGGUCAGGUAUUAGUCUCAUUCCAUUACUCUGGCUAUAUUUUCUUACUCAUCAUUACUAUUAAACUUAUACUUAGUCAUACUCUAAAUUACAAUUUAGGAUGAUUAACUAUUAACAAAAUCACACCCCGAUAACUCUGUUAUUACACUUUGUAUUUAAUCAUAAAAAGGCUGGAUGUUGAAACCUUUUACUUCUAUUUUGUAUGAGCCAGGGGUCCUCAACAGCUGAUACUCUAUGUCCAAAAAGUGACAGGUACCGUUUUAUGGAGCAAAAAACUUAAGAGCGCAUAUUUUAUAAAUAAUACCAACAAUUAUAAAUGCAGAUCUUUAAUAGUAAUAAGUAAUAGUAAUAAGUAAUCCUUUAUUUAUGAUACAUAGCAAUAUAAAAAUAGCAACAUAUGAAAAUAUUACAAUGGGCACAGAUGAAUUUGUAUCAAAAACAGCAACCAAGCCAAAGUAAUGAAUAACACACAUAAAUAACAACUGCUUGAGAGAGACCAAACAAUUUCUUUUCAUCUGUUCCUUGGCAUAAAGUUAAGACAGCUAUUCAGCUUUAGGUUUCAGUAAACAGAGGUAAUGGAUGCAGUCCCUUUGAAAUUUCUACACAAAAGUCUACUUGUGCAUAUACUUAGCUUUAACUCUUCUCUUUUUUGUUUUGUAUUCCAAAAGGUUUUCAUUUUCUCCAGAGGAUGUCUCCCUUUCAGUGGUUAUCGAUUGUUCACAUUCAUUUUCACAGACUGUUGGAAUGUCGAUGCUGGCCGAACGUUUCUUGCUAGAAUGCAAUGGCCUAAUUUUGCGUGCAUUAUCUGUCGUCUUUAUUUCGUACUGACAUAUACCUUUGCCUACUUCUUGUUUCGUUUUUAAGACAUUUGUAUGCAGUUCAUCUAUCAUUGCAGUAAUGCCCUCUGGAAUAAAUGCCCACUGUUUAACUGUGUCUAAAACAGCAUUUAGUUUUCCAACCGCGUCUUCUGUGCAUUUUUUGUCUGUGCUUUCAACUACAGGAGUGUCAUUCAAAGUUGAUAAAGGACUUUUCAGAGAGUUUUUCAUUUGUUUAAAAUGGCUACAAGCCACCUUCAGGCAAGCACAUGUGUUAUAGUGAGAGAACGUACAACAAGUGCACUGAAGUGUUUCAGCCGAUGCAAAAAAAAACACAGAUUUCCAAACAAACUUGGCAUUUUUAUCACUUUCAAGUCCUCACAGUGUACAAAGUAAUGCCUUUCUUUCACUGUCAAAGGAGUUUGCAAAGAAAAGCGUCUGGACUUCUUUAAGUUGCUUGAAGACGUUUCACCUCUCAUCCGAGAAGCUUCUUCAGUUCUAAGGUCAAAUGGCCGAGAGUCCCAGAUUUAAACCCAGUGGGAGUAUCCCCCCAAGGAGGGACAAAGGGCCCCCUGGUGAUCCUCUAAUCACAUGCGCCAAGGUGUGAAAGCGGGUGUGGGACCUAAUCAGCCAAGGUUUCGGGUGAGCUCAUCCUCGCUUUCUUUCACUGCAAUUCUUGCCAAGGUAGAAAUGUCUGUUUCCAUGUUUGGAUAGAUGUCAUUGUCAACCUCUGCUAAUUUUGCAAGUAACACUAGAUGCUUGCAAAGAAGUCCUCGUAAGCCAUAUGUACAGUUGCAGUAGGACUCAACAGGGCAGACAUCAUACACUAUGUCUUCUCUUGACUCAGAUGGGACUUGAUAUGCAUUAACUCCAUGGCUGUUCUUGACUGUAAUUUUAAGAGCCCAACCACUUUCCAUCAGUCUUGAAGCAGAGUCUGAAACUUGAGACAAGGUGUCAGCAAACCUGUUUUUCAUGCGGCCCACAUCUUGCAGGGUUUUUAUGACUGAGAAGUAGUUGUCGGCCUUCCCUAGGAGCACUUCAAUUAGAUCAUCCAGAUGCCUAUUCUUGUAGCCAGAUAAAAACUGGUAUUUCAGGCGGUGGAAAAAUCGGAAAAAAAGUUAUUUGAAAUGAUUAGUAACUGUAAUUGAAGGAAUUUAAAGUUUAAAUCAAGAGUGUAUUAUUAAAAAAAUUUUUGAAUACCUAUUGCACACAUGUCUUUUAUAAAGGAAUGCUCUGUGCCGGUUUAGCUGGUUUAGGCAAAUCCACCUACUCUGUUUUUUGUUGUGAGAACAUAAAAAACACUGCUAGAAUUUAAAGGAUUCGCCUAAAAGCUGUUCUGGCAAUGACACAAAGAACCUACUUAGUUUAGCCUCUUGGAUUAAUGCAUAAUAUCUUUUUUUUCAGCAAUAAAAUUGAAUAAGGUCAAAAUAAUAAAUCAUACCUUUCAGUCACAUUGUUUGUUUCAGAACGAGCGUGACUGAAGUGACGGCCGUAGUCACACCACAUGUGGCCAAUGCCUUCCCAGUGCUUCUGAAAAUACUGGCACACCAAAGGUUAUUGCUUAAAUGUCUGGCAAAACUCUGCUGAUGUGGCUUUAAAGUCUUCCUCCUAAGAGAAUUGGAUGCAACAGAAUAUAUUUCAAUCCAUUUAACAGACCUAUUGAAAUCUUUAAUAUUAUGUAUUGAAGCCCUUUUCCUUUUAUUGAAUAACGUUAAGAAUUUUAAGUUAUUAAUAAUAUGUCGUGUUUUUGUAUUAAGAAGCAAUUAUUUCUUCCCUUACAAUGGAUAAGAAGGAACACUAAACCUAUAAGCAUAUUUGGUUUCAGCAUCUGUCUGUGAAAGAAUCCCACUCACAAGUUCUACUGCACUGUGGGCGACACAAUGAUGGUCUGCACAGCUUAAGUACUUGUUUUGAUAAGCAAGAUAAGAAGCCAGUUUUCAAAAUCAUUUCAAAAAUCUAUUUUGUAUCUCUCUGUAACUUUUUUUAGCAACUGAAAGUUAUUAUGCUCUUGGUGCAAUCAAGAAAUCAAAAUGUGAAAUAGACAAAUUACACUUACAGAUGUGCAAGCUUUCAGCUUACAAAACAAAGAAAUGAUUUCAUUUCUCUUUUGGGUGUUAGAAAGCCCAUGGACCCCGGACUCUGAUUUUGAAAGCCAUCAAUUAACAGCCUGUUAAUGUAAGAGAAAAAAAGUUAAUCUGGAGAGACAGAGGAGCAGCUGUACAAAAAGCAUAAAAGAAAGCUGACGUCCAAAAAUAACUUUGUCACUCACUGGACAAGAGGAACUGUGCAUUACAGAAAUCAACCAGACAAACAUAUUUUUAAAUGUCAAAAAGAGCUUUGGGAAGCAGCCACCAGAAGAUGAGUGCACUGUGGUCUUAAAUGGAUGGACAUAGUCACUCAACAUUUUAUCCCUUUAUAUUCAUUAACCUGAGUAGGUGAAUAUCACAAUGAGGCAAAUCAUAACAACAGGACCCUGUUGUAAAAAUGUGUUUCAGGUGCAUCUUAGACAACGUGAAAAGAAAACAAUGUGGUUUACCUGCAAGACAUGGUACCAGCAUAGAAGGAUAGCUGACUCUGGAAAAACCUUCUGCAAAGCAUUUAUUUCCGCAAAGUCUUUGUCAACCAUAAAUGCUCUACAGAAAAAAAGAAAACACUAAAUGAGAUUAAACAGUAUGAAAAUGUUUUUGCUAUCUCAAAGCACCACUUCAAUGCCAAAUUAAACAUUUCAACUCUCAAGUAGAUAUAUAAAAUACUGCAUACAGCCUGAAGGAAUAACUUUAACAACUAGAAAGGAAGGUUUUUUGCAGCCCAUGCUGCAGCUAUAGCAUUAGAUUCUGGCAUAUUAUAACUUUUUUGAAAAGGAAUUAUUUCAAAAUUAAUAGCUGUCAAUGUGAUAUUUACCUCGGUGAAGUUGGGAAAUGCUCACAAACUAUUCCAAGAACAGUUUCCAGGGUUUUCUGACUUUCGUUGCUGACAAUAGCAUAGGCCACAGGGACUCCACGCCCAUGAUCAUCUCUUACAACAAGUGUGAAUAAGGGAAAUGAAUACUGGUUAACACAGUGUGUGGUGUCAACAAAUACUAACUGUUUUGCAGAGUUCUCCAUGUUUGAUUUCAUUACAGGUGUCUGCAAAACAAUCAUUAGUUCUUGGUCAGAUGUGUAUGGUUGAUAGAAGAGAACAUGUUCUUGAUGUUUUCCAUUAAGUAAGGUAUGUACACUUUGACUGUCUCCACAGUUAAAGUGCUUCUUCCUCAUCAUGCAGGUUCUAACACUGUCAAUGUCACGUGGUGUGACAAAAUGCUCUCUGUUGUGAAGAUCUCUGUGUCCAUGUUCUUUGGCCCAUUUAUGACAUUCGGUUAGUAUGAUGGCUGGCUUAGUUCCAAGGGAAAGCAGUUCCUCAAUCUUCCUCCUCAAAUCACUGGAAAUAUUGUUGAAAUGUGCGUCUUUUGGGUCCGAAGAAUCAUGCCCAUCAUGCUUAUCAUAUGUACGCUGCACGAUGACUGUGUGGUCUUUCCAACAUUUGAGUACUUUAAAUGAAACAUAGGCCUUACAGCCCACUGCUUUGUAGCUGUUCCGACUUUUUUUUCCAGCUCUGAUGCAGUUGAAUUUGUAAUAGUCUCUCUUCCUGUCUUUACCUGAGGCCACAUUUAAACAUUUAUAAUGUCCAUGAAGGGUUAAUGAGUUCAAUUUUUCUAACACAACACUAAAUGGGUCCUCCUGGCAUUGUGACACAUGCACACAAAGUUGUGUAUCUUUUCCAGUUCUUUUUUUUUUCGUCAUUCAGGACACUUCUUCUAAUUAUAUCGUCCAUUUCUGGUGGAAAAAUAACAAAGGUUUAAUUAGUCAAUAAUCAUUAAUUCAUUUUAACUUGUUUUGGGUUUUUUCGCAAUACAAUGUAAAUAUUAAAUAUAAUAUUAAAACAAUAUAUGUAUAAUAUAAAACAAACAGGGGCUAAAAGAAAUGCCUAAACUUUCAUAUGGUAUGUCUCUGGCAACUUUAACACAAUGUCCCAGGGACGACAUUUACACGGUGUCCCAGGGACAACAUUUACACGGUGUCCCAGGGACACGGUGUUCCAGGGACAACAUUUACACGGUGUUCCAGGGACGACAUUUACACGGUGUCCCAGGGACAACAUUUACACGGUCUCCCAGGGACACGGUGUUCCAGGGACAACAUUUACACGGUGUUCCAGGGACAACAUUUACACGGUGUUCCAGGGACAACAUUUACACGGUGUUCCAGGGACAACAUUUACACGAUGUCCCAGGGACAACAUUAACACGAUGGCCCAGGGACAACAUUAACACGAUGGCCCAGGGACAACAUUAACAUGAUGUUCCAGGGACGACAUUUACACGAUGUCCCAGGGACAACAUUAACACGAUGUCCCAGGGACAACAUUAACAUGAUGUCCCAGGGACAACAUUAACACGAUGGCCCAGGGACAACUUUGUAAAUUUCUGGAUUACUGUUAAUCUCCAUAGAAUCAAGAACUAUGGAGUUCACUUUUAAAAUCAAAUCACUUUUAUUGUCACAUCACAUGUGCAGGUACACUGGUACAGCACAUGUGAGUGAAAUUCAUGUGAGUGAACUCUGUGUCAAAUACUGAGCUUCAGUAAAGAUUCAAGUUGCAGUUAUUUAUAUUUCCUAUCACCUUAAAUCUUCACUCAAAGACAAGUAUCUCUGACAGUGUAUAUAUAGAUGUAUUAUAUAUAAGAGACAAAUGUUGUUCCUUCAGUAUGUUGGCAUUACUAAAUUUGGCUCAAUGCUUAUAUAUAUGUGUAAAAAGCAAAUGUACGAGCUGUGAUAACUGUUUCUGAUAGAAUGAAGAUCAGACUGAUAUAUGAAAUAUUCCUUUAUUGGGUGAUAAAAUCAGACCAUGUCAUAACUGCUUUAAGUCAUACAGAAUAGAUAUCAGAGCCUUAAACAGGCUGACUUCUGCUAAAUGGGUCAAACUGGGCAGAAAGUAUACAAACACAUAACAUCCUUAUAGAAUAUGAUGUAACACUAUAGAUCAACUUACCUCAGAAUAUAUAAAGCAUAUAAACAAUUACAGCAAUAUGAUGCAACAAACACAGCAGUGCUACUAAUCACAAAUACUCAAAGCUUCAUAGAACUGAAACAAAUGUUUAUUUUUAGCUCCAUUCUGCUGCUGAUACAUACUUUAGGUUUCUGAAUAUGAAACUUGUUGCUGCCUUUCAUAGUGUGUAACUUGAAGGCCCUGAGUACUUUCUCCCACACUGAAAACACUGGGAUGAUAACAUUAUUUGAACAUUACCUAAUAAGACUGAUUCAGGACAGACAAUUAGUUAUGUUAAACUUUCCUAGCAGUCCUUCACAAACAGGGAACAGUCUGUCUAUUCUCUCCAUCUGUCAGCUGCUGCUGGCUCUUCCUCCUCCUCUUCCUCACACACUGCUGAGUUUGUCCUGGUGGAUCAUCAGGGGUGCAAAGCCUCACAGAUGAUGUGCAGCAGUGGGUCCCUCAGUCUGUCCUCACUCUGGACACUUGCAGUUGUCACACAUUGAAAUCAAAUGUGUGAUAAGCUGCAGGAUUCAAACACAAGUGUAACUUAUAAAUACAUGUUCAUACUUUUAUUCCACAAUCAGAGAGAAAGAAACAGAGAGAGAGUGCAGGACAGACAGACAGGUGACAGUCUCAGGUGUAUACACUGCUACAAAACAGCACAAGAGAAGGAGGAUUUAGUGUUUGUGUUAUUACGAGUGCUAAACACCAAGAGUUCCCAGAUGGUACAGUGGACACAUGUGUGACUCCUGUGAUUAAAGCAUCUUUCUUUCAGCUUAACGAGUGAACCGUCAGCUCGUUCAAACACACGUUAAAGUCCGUUUGGCUCGACACCACCGAACAGAGGCAGCAAUAUAACAUAGCUAACAUUAACAGUGCAGUGAAUCCUGCUUGUGCCGUGAUAUUCAGGACUGCAAACCGAGCAGCAUCACUGACUUUCAGCUUGUUGUGUUUGUGGAUAUAUGACUGACUUUAAUUAUCCAUAAAAUCAUCACAUUCUCUGUAAGAUUAAGGUUGACUACUGAACGGCGUAUAUUUUAAAGUAAAGGCUUUAUAACCAAGUAACCGCUGAAAGUACAAACAUCACUAAUGUCACAUAACUUUGCCGACAUGUGGCCAAUAAUGUUUUAAUGUUCUUCAUUAUUAAACAUUUGCACAUAAAUAAGUGACAUAUUAUUCAAUACUUACUUUUAAAAGUUUACUCUUCGUCCACCCCGCUUCAGCCAUCCGCCGUUUUUUUUGUUCUGAGAAAAAUAUCCACACCCACUACAGCACUAUGUAUUGUGUGAUAGAUUGGGUCACGAACUCUACACCGGACCCAUCCUUCAAAUCUCGGGAAAUGAAGGGCGCAUUUGUUGACCGCAUUUGGAGGACUCCGAAGCAUGCAGUCCUGUGUUCAGCGUCGAGUUGUUAAUGUUGGUUUCCCACUUAUGCUGUCUUUCCCUGUGCGUUCUGAGUUUACUCCAGUUUAGUUUUGUUCUGUUUGUGUAUCACUUCUGAGCAUCAUAUUUGACAUCAAUAAAACAGUAUUUUUGAGCUCA